UCUUUCGAAUUAAGAGUGAGUGGAAUAAAAAAUAAAGAGCAUGGCGGUCCUUAAUCUCGUUAGAGGGGCAUGUAAUCUUUAUUAGUAACGAAUUUGCACGAGCAUCUGUCCUGAUCUUGAAUGGAUCUCAUUUUGUACACCGCUGUCUGAAAGAAAUUAUAAAAGUAUUUUCUCCCUUCUUAGAGAGAAGAAAUAAGGCAAGUUAAGGUGCAGAUAACGGUCAGGGGGUUAUGUGCUCCAGUAAGAAUUUAUGGGCUUUCAGAUGGAAAUGUUGGAGAGAAAGAGAAUUUAAUAGUAAGAUUAGAAAUUCAACUAGUCUGAAGAGGGGCUAUGAAGGGUGU
This 341-nucleotide ribosomal RNA is filed under the name Priceiella nanlingensis. RNAcentral describes it as "partial small subunit ribosomal RNA". The record is from RNAcentral. Lineage: Eukaryota; Metazoa; Arthropoda; Insecta; Psocodea; Philopteridae.